AUUGAACGCUGGCGGCAGGCUUAACACAUGCAAGUCGAGCGGAGAUGAGGUGCUUGCACCUUAUCUUAGCGGCGGACGGGUGAGUAAUGCUUAGGAAUCUGCCUAUUAGUGGGGGACAACAUUCCGAAAGGAAUGCUAAUACCGCAUACGUCCUACGGGAGAAAGCCGGGGAUCUUCGGACCUUGCGCUAAUAGAUGAGCCUAAGUCGGAUUAGCUCGUUGGUGGGGUAACGGCCUACCAAGGCGACGAUCUGUAGCGGGUCUGAGAGGAUGAUCCGCCACAGUGGGACUGAGAGACGGCCCAGACUCCUACGGGAGGCAGCAGUGGGGAAUAUUGGACAAUGGGGGAACCCUGAUCCAGCCAUGCCGCGUGGGGGAAGAAGGCCUUAUGGUUGUAAAGCACUUUAAGCGAGGAGGAGGCUACUGAGACUAAUACUCUUGGAUAGUGGACGUUACUCGCAGAAUAAGCACCGGCUAACUCUGUGCCAGCCGCCGCAGUAA
RNAcentral lists this ribosomal RNA (500 nucleotides) under uncultured bacterium. Its description in RNAcentral is "partial 16S ribosomal RNA". It matches the Rfam family "Bacterial small subunit ribosomal RNA", at positions 30 to 523 of the family's 1533-position model. The record is from RNAcentral.